Long non-coding RNA from Salvelinus sp. IW2-2015, 1727 nucleotides. RefSeq lists it as uncharacterized. Lineage: Eukaryota; Metazoa; Chordata; Actinopteri; Salmoniformes; Salmonidae. The record is from RefSeq and is a predicted model, not a curated record.
UAUUGAGAGAGGGAGGGAGGGAAGGAAAGGAGGAGGAUGAAGUUUCUUCCAGCUGUUUUUGUAAUUGACUAUACAGUAGCAGUUGUAGAGAGAGAGAGAGAGAGAGGGACAGUGAGAGAGCAAGAAGGGGUAGACAAAACAAAUCAUCUGACACAGAGUUUCAAGGAAACUACGGGACGAAAAAAAUGAGGGAUAGGGAGAGAGUGAGUGAAUAGAGCAAGACUUGAAUAACAACUUCAAAAAAGAGCGAGGAAGUUGACCCAACAGUGGAAUGAGUAUUAGGAUAAAACAGCACUGCUAACAGCGGAGGAGUGAAAGUCUCGUCAGGGAACCGGGUCGCAUGCCUCUCUUUCGCCGUAACGUCCUCUUUUGAGUCCCGGGGAUAAAGGCCUGGUCCGGAGUAAGAAGAACGUCCAGAGCUGCCAACUGGUUGAAGUAUGUUCGUCCAAAUUGAGCUCUACUUCCUCCAUUCAUGCGAUCUCAAUCACCUGCUUACAUCCUGCCAAUCCCAGGCACCCCUUCCCUUCCAAUAACCAGAGGCUGACCUUCCGAAGGAGGAACCAGACAUUGGGGGUCACCAUGGGAUCCAGACUACUCAUACAAUAUCCCAGAAUGCAGUGGGGAAGGGAUGAAGCAUUUAAACACCACCAUCAACAGUGGAGUCAGAUGACUGGUCAAUGUGCUUUAAAGAGACAUUCUUUGGUAGGCUUAAAGAUAGUAUAGUCAGACAAUACUGGCAUUCAUGCUAUCCACAUAUUAAGAUGCCAACAAAACAAAGAGUCUUGCAUGUGAUGACAAACUCAGUCAAAACAGAAAAUGUGUGUCAGUCUGUCUCUUGUGAAAACAGUGAACAACUUGUGAACAUUUCUGAAUUAUAAUAUAUACUGUGGAGCCAGUUUCCCCACCCCAGUUAGCGGGUAGAUUUGCUUUUAGCCAAAUCCUUUUAGAGCAAGCCAAAUAAUUUCAUGUUUUGAAAAGUUAUCCUAGAUCAGGAUUCAUUGUUUGAAUGGUAAGAUGCCAAUCAUUUGAGUAUGUAUGGCAAAGAUUAUGAUGACAACCAGAGCAUGAAUUACACCGUGACAACCAGAGCAUGAAUUACACCGUGACAUUCGAAGUGGUCUCUAUUUAGUGCAAAAAAAUGUAUGGGCCUAAUAAUAAAGACAAUUUAACGGUAAAAAUGAUUUACCAUUUUAAUUUAGCAUGAACACAACAGUCAUGAUACUUUCAUCUGAUUGCCAAACAAAUCACUUCAAAAAGUAGGCUACCUGUGCAUGUUCGUCCACACCAAAAUAAUCCAAACAAUGCAAUGGAUGUACACUUGCGCCAUUAGAUGAAUGGAAAUAGAUAUCUGUUUACAAAACACCAAAAAGAGUGCCUAAUGACAUCGGACGAUUAUCAUUGAUUAGGCCUACGUUAAUUGAUGCAGCUUACUGACAAAUGCACCUACUGUCAUUGAUGUUGGAUGGAUUGGAUGCGCAUUGGUGUCUAGCUGUAGGAUAGUUGCCUAGUGAUAUUGGCGGCCAUCAUCAGCUGAUCCAGGAAAUAAAAUAUUGAUAGAAAAUAAUAAAGCAAAAGAAAUGGUAUACCUCUUAUGGCCACGGACGGCAUAGAGAACACCAAUACCCGCGCGCACCUGAAAAACAAAGCAAUGAGCGCUCUAAACAGCUGACUGACAAAAGCAAACAGUGAUACAUCAACAGAUACAUCUAAUGCAUUGGAAUAAAGGC